This 299-nucleotide ribosomal RNA is filed under the name uncultured bacterium. RNAcentral describes it as "partial 16S ribosomal RNA". It matches the Rfam family "Bacterial small subunit ribosomal RNA", at positions 28 to 334 of the family's 1533-position model. The record is from RNAcentral.
GACGAACGCUGGCGGCAUGCCUAACACAUGCAAGUCGAACGGAGAUAGCAAUAUCUUAGUGGCGGACGGGUGAGUAAUGGAUGAGUAAUCUGCCUCAUACACUGGGAUAACACAGAGAAAUUUGUGCUAAUACCGGAUGAGACCACACUACCGCAUGGUAGAGGGGUCAAAGGGCUUUACUGGUAUGAGAUGAGCUCAUCUCCCAUUAGCUAGUUGGUAAGAUAACAGCCUACCAAGGCGACGAUGGGUAGCCGGCCUGAGAGGGUGAACGGCCACAUUGGAACUUAGACACGGUCCAA